RNAcentral lists this ribosomal RNA (441 nucleotides) under uncultured bacterium. Its description in RNAcentral is "partial 16S ribosomal RNA". It matches the Rfam family "Bacterial small subunit ribosomal RNA", at positions 338 to 795 of the family's 1533-position model. The record is from RNAcentral.
CCUACGGGAGGCAGCAGUGGGGGAUAUUGCACAAUGGGGGAAACCCUGAUGCAGCGACGCCGCGUGUGGGAAGACGGUCCUCUGGAUUGUAAACCACUGUCCCCAGGGACGAAGAUGACGGUACCUGGGGAGGAAGCUCCGGCUAACUACGUGCCAGCAGCCGCGGUAAUACGUAGGGAGUGAGCGUUGUCCGGAAUUACUGGGUGUAAAGGGCGUGCAGCCGGGAAGACAAGUCAGAUGUGAAAUCCCGCGGCUCAACCGCGGAACUGCAUUUGAAACUGUUUUUCUUGAGUAUCGGAGAGGUAAUCGGAAUUCCUAGUGUAGCGGUGAAAUGCGUAGAUAUUAGGAAGAACACCAGUGGCGAAGGCGGAUUACUGGACGAUAACUGACGGUGAGGCGCGAAAGCGUGGGGAGCAAACAGGAUUAGAUACCCUUGUAGUC